This is a non-coding RNA of Schizosaccharomyces pombe (fission yeast), 227 nucleotides long. Lineage: Eukaryota; Fungi; Ascomycota; Schizosaccharomycetes; Schizosaccharomycetales; Schizosaccharomycetaceae. The record is from the annotation of a GenBank genome assembly.
GGGACAAAAAUGAUUGAGCAACGCUGAUUGUUUUAGUUGUAUCACUGAACGCUUCUUUGUAAUUUUUUCCAUGUUUUUCAAGUAUUGUAUCAUAUAUGCGAAACGCUAAAUACCACGGAAGUAAAGAAUUUGAGUCAAUCGAGGAUGAUUCGAGAACUACGGUCAGACAAAAGCGAAUACUGUUAACGUACCUGAGUUUGAUGUAGGUUGAUACUCCUCUUUCAUUG